GUAGUCAUAUGCUUGUCUCAAAGAUUAAGCCAUGCAUGUCUAAGUAUAAGCAAUUAUACCGCGAAACUGCGAAUGGCUCAUUAUAUAAGUUAUCGUUUAUUUGAUAAUACUUUACUACUUGGAUAACCGUGGUAAUUCUAGAGCUAAUACAUGCUAAAAAUCCCGACUUCGGAAGGGUUGUAUUUAUUAGAUUAAAAACCAAUGCCCCUCGGGGCUCUCUGGUGAAUCAUGAUAACUAGUCGAAUCGACAGGCCUUGUGCCGGCGAUGGCUCAUUCAAAUUUCUUCCCUAUCAACUUUCGAUGUUUGGGUAUUGUCCAAACAUGGUGGCAACGGGUAACGGAGGGUUAGGGCUCGACCCCGGAGAAGGAGCCUGAGAAACGGCUACUACAUCCAAGGAAGGCAGCAGGCGCGCGAAUUACCCAAUCCCGACACGGGGAGGUAGUGACAAUAAAUACUGAUACAGGGCUCUUUUGGGUCUUGUAAUCGGAAUGAGUACAAUUUAAAUCCCUUAACGAGGAA
This 520-nucleotide ribosomal RNA is filed under the name uncultured fungus. Its description in RNAcentral is "SSU rRNA". It matches the Rfam family "Eukaryotic small subunit ribosomal RNA", at positions 20 to 544 of the family's 1831-position model. Lineage: Eukaryota; Fungi. The record is from RNAcentral.